RNAcentral lists this transfer RNA (71 nucleotides) under Marmota monax (woodchuck). RNAcentral's name for it is "tRNA.Val". It matches the Rfam family "tRNA". Rfam says of the family: Transfer RNA (tRNA) molecules are approximately 80 nucleotides in length. Their secondary structure includes four short double-helical elements and three loops (D, anti-codon, and T loops). Further hydrogen bonds mediate the characteristic L-shaped molecular structure. tRNAs have two regions of fundamental functional importance: the anti-codon, which is responsible for specific mRNA codon recognition, and the 3' end, to which the tRNAs corresponding amino acid is attached (by aminoacyl-tRNA synthetases). tRNAs cope with the degeneracy of the genetic code in two manners: having more than one tRNA (with a specific anti-codon) for a particular amino acid; and 'wobble' base-pairing, i.e. permitting non-standard base-pairing at the 3rd anti-codon position. Lineage: Eukaryota; Metazoa; Chordata; Mammalia; Rodentia; Sciuridae. The record is from RNAcentral.
GGGGUUGUGGCUCAGUGGUACAGCACUUGCCUAACAUGUUUGAGGCACUGAGUUCAAUUCUCAGCACCACA